Molecule: long non-coding RNA, 98 nt
Filed under: Cricetulus griseus (Chinese hamster)
Lineage: Eukaryota; Metazoa; Chordata; Mammalia; Rodentia; Cricetidae
Description: lncRNA (ENSCGRG00000024768.1)
Source: RNAcentral
CUAUUCGCUGCUUGCUUUACGGGAUGAGUCUGGAUUUUCAAUCACUGAUUGUGUGGAGGGAGCAGCCCGCCUCCUCCUACCGGGAAGCAGGCUCCUCC